UCCUGGUUAGCUCAGUUGGUAGAGCGAUCCACGGGAAUUGGAGAGACCCCAGGUUCGAUACAAGGACCAGGCG
RNAcentral lists this transfer RNA (73 nucleotides) under Ixodes scapularis (black-legged tick). Its description in RNAcentral is "tRNA-Ser". Lineage: Eukaryota; Metazoa; Arthropoda; Arachnida; Ixodida; Ixodidae. The record is from RNAcentral.